Molecule: ribosomal RNA, 254 nt
Filed under: uncultured bacterium
Lineage: Bacteria
Description: partial 16S ribosomal RNA
Rfam family: Bacterial small subunit ribosomal RNA
Source: RNAcentral
UACGUAGGGUGCAAGCGUUGUCCGGAAUUAUUGGGCGUAAAGAGUUGCGUAGGUGGCAUAGUAAGUUGGUAGUGAAAGCGUUCGGCUCAACCGGAUAGACAUUAUCAAAACUGCUAAGCUAGAGGAUGAGAGAGGUUAUUGGAAUUCCCUGUGUAGGAGUGAAAUCCGUAGAUAUAGGGAGGAACACCGAUGGCGUAGGCAGAUAACUGGCUCAUUCCUGACACUCAGGCACGAAAGCGUGGGGAGCAAACGGG